UACGUAGGCAGCAAGCGUUGUUCGGAGUUACUGGGCGUAAAGGGUGCGUAGGCGGCUAUUUAAGUUUGGUGUGAAAUCUCCCGGCUCAACUGGGAGGGUGCGCCGAAUACUGAGUGGCUAGAGUGCGGGAGAGGAAAGUGGAAUUCCUGGUGUAGCGGUGAAAUGCGUAGAUAUCAGGAGGAACACCGGUGGUGUAAACGGCUUUCUGGACCGUAACUGACGCUGAGGCACGAAAGCGUGGGUAGCAAACAGG
This 253-nucleotide ribosomal RNA is filed under the name uncultured bacterium. Its description in RNAcentral is "partial 16S ribosomal RNA". It matches the Rfam family "Bacterial small subunit ribosomal RNA", at positions 524 to 776 of the family's 1533-position model. The record is from RNAcentral.